Molecule: ribosomal RNA, 440 nt
Filed under: uncultured bacterium
Lineage: Bacteria
Description: partial 16S ribosomal RNA
Rfam family: Bacterial small subunit ribosomal RNA
Source: RNAcentral
CCUACGGGAGGCAGCAGUAGGGAAUAUUGCUCAAUGUGGGAAACCCUGAAGCAGCAACGCCGCGUGGAGGAUGAAGGUUUUCGGAUUGGAAACUCCUUUUGUUAGAGAAGAUAAUGACGGUAUCUAACGAAUAAGCACCGGCUAACUCCGUGACAGCAGCCGCUGUAAUACGGAGGGUGCAAGCGGUACUCGGAAUCACUGGGGGUAAAGAGCGCGUAGGCGGGAUAGCAAGUCAGAUGUGAAAUCCUAUGGCUUAACCAUAGAACUGCAUUUGAAACUGUUAUUCUAGAGUAUGGGAGAGGUAGGUGGAAUUCGUGGUGUAGCGGUAAAAUCCGUAGAGAUCAAGAGGAAUACUCAUUGCGAAGGCGACCUGCUAGAACAUAACUGACGCUGAUGCGCGAAAGCGUGGGGAGCAAACAGGAUUAGAUACCCUUGUAGUC